This 429-nucleotide ribosomal RNA is filed under the name Acidobacteriota bacterium. RNAcentral's name for it is "Acidobacteria bacterium partial 16S ribosomal RNA". It matches the Rfam family "Bacterial small subunit ribosomal RNA", at positions 355 to 776 of the family's 1533-position model. Lineage: Bacteria; Pseudomonadati; Acidobacteriota. The record is from RNAcentral.
UGGGGAAUUUUGGACAAUGGGGGAAACCCUGAUCCAGCCAUCCCGCGUGUGCGAUGAAGGCCUUCGGGUUGUAAAGCACUUUUGGCAGGAAAGAAACGUCAUGGGUUAAUACCCCGUGAAACUGACGGUACCUGCAGAAUAAGCACCGGCUAACUACGUGCCAGCAGCCGCGGUAAUACGUAUGGUGCAAGCGUUAAUCGGAAUUACUGGGCGUAAAGCGUGCGCAGGCGGUUCGGAAAGAAAGAUGUGAAAUCCCAGAGCUCAACUUUGGAACUGCAUUUUUAACUACCGAGCUAGAGUGUGUCAGAGGGAGGUGGAAUUCCGCAUGUAGCAGUGAAAUGCGUAGAUAUGCGGAGGAACACCGAUGGCGAAGGCAGCCUCCUGGGAUAACACUGACGCUCAUGCACGAGAGCGUGGGGAGCAAACAGG